Molecule: ribosomal RNA, 738 nt
Filed under: uncultured Actinomycetes bacterium
Lineage: Bacteria; Bacillati; Actinomycetota; Actinomycetes
Description: bacterial SSU rRNA
Rfam family: Bacterial small subunit ribosomal RNA
Source: RNAcentral
GCGUGCUUACACAUGCAAGUCGAACGCUGAAGCUCAGCUUUUGUUGGGUGGAUGAGUGGCGAACGGGUGAGUAACACGUGAGUAACCUGCCCUCUUCUUUGGGAUAACGCCCGGAAACGGGUGCUAAUACUGGAUAUUCACUGGCCUUCGCAUGGGGGUUGGUGGAAAGGUUUGUUCUGGUGGGGGAUGGGCUCGCGGCCUAUCAGCUUGUUGGUGGGGUGAUGGCCUACCAAGGCUUUGACGGGUAGCCGGCCUGAGAGGGUGACCGGUCACAUUGGGACUGAGAUACGGCCCAGACUCCUACGGGAGGCAGCAGUGGGGAAUAUUGCACAAUGGGCGAAAGCCUGAUGCAGCGACGCCGCGUGAGGGAUGGAGGCCUUCGGGUUGUAAACCUCUUUCGCUCAUGGUCAAGCCGCAACUGUGGGUUGUGGUGAGGGUAGUGGGUAAAGAAGCGCCGGCUAACUACGUGCCAGCAGCCGCGGUAAUACGUAGGGCGCGAGCGUUGUCCGGAAUUAUUGGGCGUAAAGGGCUUGUAGGCGGUUGGUCGCGUCUGCCGUGAAAUUCUCUGGCUUAACUGGGGGCGUGCGGUGGGUACGGGCUGACUUGAGUGCGGUAGGGGAGACUGGAACUCCUGGUGUAGCGGUGGAAUGCGCAGAUAUCAGGAAGAACACCGGUGGCGAAGGCGGGUCUCUGGGCCGUUACUGACGCUGAGGAGCGAAAGCGUGGGGAGCGAACAGG